ACGCACGCUGGCGGCGUGCUUAACACAUGCAAGUCGAACGGAAAGGCCCUGCUUUUGUGGGGUGCUCGAGUGGCGAACGGGUGAGUAACACGUGAGUAACCUGCCCUUGACUUUGGGAUAACUUCAGGAAACUGGGGCUAAUACCGGAUAGGAGCUCCUGCUGCAUGGUGGGGGUUGGAAAGUUUCGGCGGUUGGGGAUGGACUCGCGGCUUAUCAGCUUGUUGGUGGGGUAGUGGCUUACCAAGGCUUUGACGGGUAGCCGGCCUGAGAGGGUGACCGGCCACUUUGGGACUGAGAUACGGCCCAGACUCCUACGGGAGGCAGCAGUGGGGAAUAUUGCACAAUGGGCGGAAGCCUGAUGCAGCAACGCCGCGUGCGGGAUGACGGCCUUCGGGUUGUAAACCGCUUUCGCCUGUGACGAAGCGUGAGUGACGGUAAUGGGUAAAGAAGCACCGGCUAACUACGUG
Molecule: ribosomal RNA, 467 nt
Filed under: uncultured bacterium
Lineage: Bacteria
Description: partial 16S ribosomal RNA
Rfam family: Bacterial small subunit ribosomal RNA
Source: RNAcentral